This is a non-coding RNA of Termitomyces sp. Mi166#008, 94 nucleotides long. Lineage: Eukaryota; Fungi; Basidiomycota; Agaricomycetes; Agaricales; Lyophyllaceae. The record is from the annotation of a GenBank genome assembly.
AGCAGCAUGGCGCAGUUGGAAGCGCGCGGGGCCCAUAUAUGUUUUCAAGAGCUGUUAAACCCCGAGGUCACUUGAUCGAAACAAGUCGCUGCUA